CCCUUAGAUGUUCUGGGCCGCACGCGCGCUACACUGACGAAUGCAACGAGCUUAUAACCUUGGCCGAAAGGUCUGGGUAAUCUCCAAAUUUCGUCGUGAUGGGGAUAGAUUAUUGCAAUUAUUAAUCUUCAACGAGGAAUGCCUAGUAAGCGCAAGUCAUCAGCUUGCGUUGAUUACGUCCCUGCCCUUUGUACACACCGCCCGUCGCUCCUACCGAUUGAAUGGUCCGGUGAAGCGCUCGGACCGCGGCCUCUUGACGGUUCGCUGUCGAUUGGCUGUGGGAAGUUCGUUAAACCUUAUCAUUUAGAGGAAGGUGAAGUCGUAACA
Molecule: ribosomal RNA, 327 nt
Filed under: uncultured eukaryote
Lineage: Eukaryota
Description: partial 18S ribosomal RNA
Rfam family: Eukaryotic small subunit ribosomal RNA
Source: RNAcentral